CCGCGAUAUAAGGCACAUAAUGCGCCGCUGGUUUUGCCCCCCCCUAGAGUAUGAAUCCUGGCUCAGAUUGAACGCUGGCGGCAGGCCUAACACAUGCAAGUCGAGCGGAUGAAGGGAGCUUGCUCCUGGAUUCAGCGGCGGACGGGUGAGUAAUGCCUAGGAAUCUGCCUGGUAGUGGGGGAUAACGUCCGGAAACGGGCGCUAAUACCGCAUACGUCCUGAGGGAGAAAGUGGGGGAUCUUCGGACCUCACGCUAUCAGAUGAGCCUAGGUCGGAUUAGCUAGUUGGUGGGGUAAAGGCCUACCAAGGCGACGAUCCGUAACUGGUCUGAGAGGAUGAUCAGUCACACUGGAACUGAGACACGGUCCAGACUCCUACGGGAGGCAGCAGUGGGGAAUAUUGGACAAUGGGCGAAAGCCUGAUCCAGCCAUGCCGCGUGUGUGAAGAAGGUCUUCGGAUUGUAAAGCACUUUAAGUUGGGAGGAAGGGCAGUAAGUUAAUACCUUGCUGUUUUGACGUUACCAACAGAAUAAGCACCGGCUAACUUCGUGCCAGCAGCCGCGGUAAUACGAAGGGUGCAAGCGUUAAUCGGAAUUACUGGGCGUAAAGCGCGCGUAGGUGGUUCAGCAAGUUGGAUGUGAAAUCCCCGGGCUCAACCUGGGAACUGCAUCCAAAACUACUGAGCUAGAGUACGGUAGAGGGUGGUGGAAUUUCCUGUGUAGCGGUGAAAUGCGUAGAUAUAGGAAGGAACACCAGUGGCGAAGGCGACCACCUGGACUGAUACUGACACUGAGGUGCGAAAGCGUGGGGAGCAAACAGGAUUAGAUACCCUGGUAGUCCACGCCGUAAACGAUGUCGACUAGCCGUUGGGAUCCUUGAGAUCUUAGUGGCGCAGCUAACGCGAUAAGUCGACCGCCCUGGGAGUCCCAACC
RNAcentral lists this ribosomal RNA (931 nucleotides) under uncultured Pseudomonas sp. RNAcentral's name for it is "bacterial SSU rRNA". It matches the Rfam family "Bacterial small subunit ribosomal RNA", at positions 1 to 888 of the family's 1533-position model. The record is from RNAcentral. Lineage: Bacteria; Pseudomonadati; Pseudomonadota; Gammaproteobacteria; Pseudomonadales; Pseudomonadaceae.